This is a long non-coding RNA of Brassica napus (rape), 2918 nucleotides long. RefSeq lists it as uncharacterized. The record is from RefSeq and is a predicted model, not a curated record. The transcript is spliced from 2 exons. Lineage: Eukaryota; Viridiplantae; Streptophyta; Magnoliopsida; Brassicales; Brassicaceae.
UCGUAUAACAUUGAGUAAUUUAGUGUGUGUGUUUACAAUCUGUUUUAUUACCGAUAUUUAGUAUCAAAUAAAUAAAUUAAAAAAUAUAAAUAAAGAGAGUUAUGUAUUUGCAUAAGAUAUAUAGAAAACAAAUUUUUGAAAUUAAAAUAUGAAGAAAGAGAGAAGUAUGAGUUAGUAUGGUUUACGAAAUUGAUUUAUGAUUCAACAAUAAUUUUUUUGAAGAAUAUUUUAUUUAUGCAACUUCUAUUGUAAGAUAUAAAAAUGUGGAUUAAGAUUUGUUUAAAAAAAAUGAAAGUAUCAGUUAUAUUUAAAUAGUUUCUAAUUAGAUAUGGUCUUAAUUUUAUAAGAAAAAUAUAAUCAAUAUAAAUAAUCAAUAUUUAUAUUUGUUAUUUCAACAAUAUAUAAAAAUUGGUUGGCAUAAUUAUUUUUCGAAAUCUAUGAGUUAGUUAUAGUUAGAUUUGGGUAUAUUAAAUAAUCGAUAUAAAUGAUGAUUGACCCCCAAGUUAAAGGGCCAAAAAUAUUAUGCCGACCAAUUUUAUAUAUUUUUGAAAUAACUAAUAUAAACUAGAUCUUGACCCGCACAACCGUACGGGUGUUAUUUUUUAUUUUUUAUACUUCACAAUUAUGGUUAUUCAUAUGUUUUGAUCGUUUGUAAAUUAUAUGCAUUGAUGAAAUGUGUUAUUGAUGUUUAAACAACUAAGUCUAAAUAAAUCAUUUGUAAUUUGGAGUUUUUUUAACUUUACCAUUUUCAAGUAUAUUUGAUUAUGAAGCAUACAAUUUGGAUAAUUUUUAUAUUAAUACAUAUAUGCUAAUAAAGACACAAUUUUCAUAGUUUAGAAUUUGAUAUUUUUUAUAUAGAUCAUAAUUUAUUUGGUGAUAAUGUAAGUAAUAUAUUUAAAUUGUUUAUGACAAUAUCAAAGUUAUAUAUUUAUAAUUUACUGUUUCAAAUUAUCCAGUGGUAACUCUGUAUUAAAACAUGAAGACUAAUUAAUACCUUAACUCUCAAUUUAACAUUAAAUUAGAUAUUUUACUAAAGGUAUACUUGUAUUUUAGACUUAGUCAUACGUAUAUGUUAAUCAGAUUAUUUGUAUGAUUUAAAUUUUUAACUCAAUAACCUACACUAAAUCUAAUUCAUAAAGUUCCACUUCAUUUCAAUUAUUAUAUAAAAAAUUGUAGAAAUUAUUAUUUCUUAUUCUAUAAACAAAAAAUAAAUUAGUAUUCAUUUAUAAUAAUAUUUAAUAUUAACUACGAAUUUUACUAUUUAAUAGUAACUUUUUAAAUAAAUAAAGAUACUUAAAUGAAAAUGAAAAUUUAUUAAAAUGUAUUAUUAAAAUGUAAUCUUAAAAAGAUACUUAAAAUAUCUUUUUAGAUAUUUUAUUUUAAAAUUUUAAAAUAAUAUGCUAGCUAGAGUAUAUUUAAUAAUAACUAAGUUAGUUUUAGAAAAAAUAAAGGAAUUCAAAUAAAUGUAGUGGUCCAACAUUGUUAUUAAUUAAACUUUGAAUUCUUGAUUUUAUGAGUGAUUUUUAUAUUCUUACAUUUAAAUAUUUUUUCCGAGUAUAUUUAUAUUAAAAUUAUUUAACAUAUUUUGUUUUAAAUGAAUUAAACUUUAAUUUACAUAUAUUAAAUAAAGUUAUUUGUUAAUAUUCUUUUAAAAUAAAAUAUGCAAAGUUUGGAAACCAUAAUUCUAUAGCUAAGAUAUUUUUUUACGAUACCAAAAUUUUGAAAUUUUGCCAAAAUCAAAUUUUCAAAAAUAUUUAUUUUUCCGUUAAAAAGUGAUGAAUGUUUACCAUACAUGUAAGUUGACUUUGGUGUAUUGAUUUAUAAGCACACUAUUUUGGAAUUGGUUUACUUAAAUAAUGAAUUGCUUGUGGUUAUGUUCCUUUGUGCAGAGACUUCAGAUAUGAUUGAUAACAUAUAAAUUUACAUAAUGUUGAACUUCUAGACCGCUCUCUGAGCUUCUUUCAUUAUUCUCAGUCACAAAUCCAAACCCACGACUCUGGUCGGUUUUCCUAUAUAUUAUAUAUAUCUCUUGAACUAAACAAAUGUAAAAAGAAAGAAUAUUCAAAACCAAAAGUAUGAAAGUUCCAUCUAAUGUUAACAUAUAUAGAUAUAUUCAAUCCACAUAAUUCUAAACACUGCAAUAACUAUUUCAAACCAGAGAUGCUCCGACUGUCCCGACUUUCUCAAAGAGCAUAGCUAAAGCCUGGUUGUCAACAUCGUAAGCCAAAUUUUCAACGAACAGCUUUGCUUCUUCCAGUGGCUCCAGGAACUCGCCACCUUCACUCACAUCUCCUUCCUCAUUUGAAAACGUUGCUUUUGGCCUUUCUUCCCUGCUGGGCCAUCACUUGAGCUAUUGAACAUUGGUGAAGUUUCAAAUUUUGAACGUACAGAACCAUAACCAAAUCAGAAGACAUCAUGAUUGUCUCCACAAGUUAGAAUCAAAGAAAAAAAAAACAAAAAAUGUUUCCUGGUGGAGCCUCCAACUCAUGAUUGUUGAGAAGGAGAUUAUCAUGCUCUUUCUCACGCCUCUCAUCUCGAGGAAGAAAGAUAGCUCUUCAUCUUCCUCUGUCAUCAUAGAAGCCCUAAGCUGUUGUCUUUGCCUCUGCUGAAUAUCCAGCAAUAGAGACUCAUGUGCCCUAAAGGUUCAAUUCAUCUCUCAACCAAAUUUACAGAACACAAAGAGUCCUAUCUCUUAUUCCUUUGUUUUAAAAUCUUCAUUGAUUGAAGAAUUUAAUUUUUCUUCUACCUGAUCAAUGGAUUUCAAAUUGAUUUUCUUCAAUCCAUCUGCCUCCCAUCCCAUGGCAACAUUUUCGCCUCUGGAAAUAUGAAUCCCGUGAACUAUUUUCUUUUGUACAUCUCGGGCAUUAGUUAUAGGUUAAACCAGUUAAUAGACUGAUUAUUGAUUAAUGUAAUUAAUU